AAUUUGUCCCACUCUGCCCAAACCCCAAAGGGAUCAUUGGUUUUGUAUUUUCUUGCAUUGUGUAGUUGCUUUGUACGUACACAAACAAUGAAUUCUUUAUUGUUUUCUUGACAAUGAUUGGCUCAUUAUAUUAUACCAAACCAAAGCAAUGUUCUCUGAGAAGAGGCUUUCACAGGGUUCUUUAUAAUCAUUCUCAUUCAAUAUUCCAAUACCCCUUUGGUGAACAAUCAUAAGGUCCUACUUAAAUAUCUCUUUGCCUUUUCAUCUUUUCUCUUAACUAAACUCUUUGACUGCUUCAGCUUGCAGCAGACCUUCAAACAUGGAGUCACAGUGCGCAAUCAAGAAAGAUGCUACUGAACUAAUAGGUAAUACCCCAAUGGUUUAUCUGAAUAACAUAGUGGAGGGGUGUGUGGCCCGCAUUGCUGCUAAGUUAGAAUCCAUGCAACCCUGCUUCAGUAUCAAAGAUAGGACAGCAUUUAGCAUGAUCAAAGAUGCUGAGGAAAAAGGUCUCAUUACCCCGGGAAAGAGUGUUCUUGUGGAGGCUACGAGUGGGAACACUGGCAUUGGAAUGGCAUUCAUAGCAACUUUGAAGGGCUACAAGGUAAUAGUGGCAAUGCCAGCUUCGGUGAGUCUGGAGAGAAAAAUUGUGCUUCUAGCCUUCGGAGCUGAGGUGCAUCUCACAGACCCUGCCAAAGGAACCGAUGAAGUUCUUAGGAAGGCAGAGGAGAUAGUGAAUAACACCCCCGGCAGUUACAUGCUCCGCCAGAUUGAUAAUCCUGCCAAUCCAAAAGUUCAUUAUGAGAGUACUGGGCCUGAGAUAUGGAGAGACUCCGGAGGGAAAGUUGAUGCUUUGGUUGCAGGGGUAGGAACAGGGGGCACAAUAACGGGCGCUGGCAGAUUUCUCAAGGAGAGAAACCCCAAUGUCAAGUUGUACGGCGUAGAACCAUUUGAAAGUCCAGUUCUUAGUGGAGGAUCGCCAGGUGAUCACCUAAUCCAAGGGAUUGGUAAUGGUAUCAUUCCGAAUGUACUGGAUGUUAAUCUCCUAGAUGAAGUCAUCCAGAUAUCAAGUGUAGAAGCAAUAGAAACUGCUAAGCUGCUUGCUUUAAAAGAAGGUUUGUUGAUGGGAAUUUCAUCGGGUGCCGCAGCAGCCGCUGCCAUAAAAUUGGGGAAGAGACCUGAAAAUGCCGGAAAACUCAUCGUUAAUUCAAGCCAACGAGGAAACCGUGUUCAUGGACUCUGAGUAGCCCAAAAAACUUCUUGAUAACCGCUGCAUCUUUAGAACGAUUGGUCUUUAUUGGUCCAAUUCCAUCCGUAAGGACUUGAGCUGGUUAGUGUAUUAAGGUGGUAUUUCCCAGUUAUGGAGAGCGUUAUUUGUCAUCGCCAUUGUUCGAAUCCAUUAGGCAUGAAGCUGAACAAAUGACAUUUCAUUAAGAUAAUCUCCUAAGUAAUUCUGCUCUCUGAAUUUUAUGGUAUCAGAGUAUUUUUGUUUUUUGUCUAAUGAUCCUCUGUUCAUGAGGAUCCACCACUUGUUUGACUUCAAUAAUGCAAAAGAAUUUUUUAAGAGAAGCCAA
Molecule: RNA transcript, 1571 nt
Organism: Vigna unguiculata (cowpea)
Lineage: Eukaryota; Viridiplantae; Streptophyta; Magnoliopsida; Fabales; Fabaceae
Gene name: bifunctional L-3-cyanoalanine synthase/cysteine synthase D1-like
Source: RefSeq, a predicted model, not a curated record